RNAcentral lists this ribosomal RNA (375 nucleotides) under uncultured eukaryote. RNAcentral describes it as "SSU rRNA". It matches the Rfam family "Eukaryotic small subunit ribosomal RNA", at positions 587 to 972 of the family's 1831-position model. The record is from RNAcentral.
AGCUCUAAUAGCGUAUAUUAAAGUUGUUGCAGUUAAAAAGCUCGUAGUCGGAUGUCGGGCUCGGGCAGGCUGUCGGCUUCGGUCGGACGGCAGGUUCGGGGUUUUCUGCCUGAGGAUCCAUUUGCACUUUAUUGUGGAGGUGGGGACGCAGGCCGUUUACUUUGAAAAAAAUAGAGUGUUCAAAGCAGGCCUACGCUUGAAUACAUUAGCAUGGAAUAAUGGAAUAGGACUUUGGUGCUAUUUUGUUGGUUUAUGGGACCGACGUAAUGAUUAACAGGGAGAGUUGGGGCCGUUUAUAUUUCGUUCCUCAGAGGUGAAAUUCUUGGAUUUAUGAAAGAUAAACUUCUGCGAAAACAUUUGGCAAGGAUGAUUUCA